Molecule: ribosomal RNA, 539 nt
Filed under: uncultured bacterium
Lineage: Bacteria
Description: partial 16S ribosomal RNA
Rfam family: Bacterial small subunit ribosomal RNA
Source: RNAcentral
UGGGGAAUUUUGGACAAUGGGGGAAACCCUGAUCCAGCCAUCCCGCGUGUGCGAUGAAGGCCUUCGGGUUGUAAAGCACUUUUGGCAGGAAAGAAACGUCGUGGGUUAAUACCCCGCGAAACUGACGGUACCUGCAGAAUAAGCACCGGCUAACUACGUGCCAGCAGCCGCGGUAAUACGUAGGGUGCAAGCGUUAAUCGGAAUUACUGGGCGUAAAGCGUGCGCAGGCGGUUCGGAAAGAAAGAUGUGAAAUCCCAGAGCUUAACUUUGGAACUGCAUUUUUAACUACCGGGCUAGAGUGUGUCAGAGGGAGGUGGAAUUCCGCGUGUAGCAGUGAAAUGCGUAGAUAUGCGGAGGAACACCGAUGGCGAAGGCAGCCUCCUGGGAUAACACUGACGCUCAUGCACGAAAGCGCGGGGAGCAAACAGGAUUAGAUACCCUGGUAGUCCACGCCCUAAACGAUGUCAACUAGCUGUUGGGGUCUUCGGACCUUGGUAGCGCAGCUAACGCGUGAAGUUGACCGCCUGGGGAGUACGGUC